RNAcentral lists this ribosomal RNA (465 nucleotides) under Vreelandella stevensii. RNAcentral's name for it is "partial 16S ribosomal RNA". It matches the Rfam family "Bacterial small subunit ribosomal RNA", at positions 338 to 795 of the family's 1533-position model. Lineage: Bacteria; Pseudomonadati; Pseudomonadota; Gammaproteobacteria; Oceanospirillales; Halomonadaceae. The record is from RNAcentral.
CCUACGGGUGGCUGCAGUGGGGAAUAUUGGACAAUGGGCGAAAGCCUGAUCCAGCCAUGCCGCGUGUGUGAAGAAGGCCUUCGGGUUGAAAAGCACUUUCAGUGGGGAAGAAAGCCUUGGGGCUAAUACCCUCGAGGAAGGACAUCACCCACAGAAGAAGCACCGGCUAACUCCGUGCCAGCAGCCGCGGUAAUACGGAGGGUGCGAGCGUUAAUCGGAAUUACUGGGCGUAAAGCGCGCGUAGGCGGUCUGAUAAGCCGGUUGUGAAAGCCCCGGGCUCAACCUGGGAACGGCAUCCGGAACUGUCAGGCUAGAGUGCAGGAGAGGAAGGUAGAAUUCCCGGUGUAGCGGUGAAAUGCGUAGAGAUCGGGAGGAAUACCAGUGGCGAAGGCGGCCUUCUGGACUGACACUGACGCUGAGGUGCGAAAGCGUGGGUAGCAAACAGGAUUAGAUACCCGGGUAGUC